RNAcentral lists this ribosomal RNA (379 nucleotides) under Schizomyia humuli. RNAcentral's name for it is "partial 12S ribosomal RNA". The record is from RNAcentral. Lineage: Eukaryota; Metazoa; Arthropoda; Insecta; Diptera; Cecidomyiidae.
UUUAACAAUAUUAAAAACGGCGGGCAAUAUGUACAUAUUAAUAAAAAAAAUUCAACUUAAAUAUUUAUUAAAAUUUUAAUUUUAAAUCCAAUUUCAAAUUAUUAAAUUUAAAAUAAUUAUUCAAAAAUUUUUUUAAAAUAGUAUUUCAUUAAAACUUUAAUUAUAAAAUAUAUUAUGAUUUGAAUUUCAUUUUAUAAUAAAUUUAAAUAAUUCUAUUCCUAUAAUUAUUUUAUACAACAAUAUAUAAUUUAAUAAAUUAAAUAUUUUUUAUUGGGUAUUAUCAAAUUAAUAAACAAAAUCCUCUAAUUUUUAAUAAUACUGCCAAAUAAAUUAACUUUAAACUAAUAAUUAAUAAUUAAAAUAACUUUAUUAAAUAAUA